GCAGUCGAGCGGUAACAGAUCCAGCCUGCUGGAUGCUGACGAGCGGCGGACGGGUGAGUAAUGCAUAGGAAUCUGCCCGAUAGUGGGGGAUAACCUGGGGAAACCCAGGCUAAUACCGCAUACGUCCUACGGGAGAAAGGGGGCUCCGGCUCCCGCUAUCGGAUGAGCCUAUGUCGGAUUAGCUGGUUGGCGAGGUAACGGCUCACCAAGGCCACGAUCCGUAGCUGGUCUGAGAGGAUGAUCAGCCACAUCGGGACUGAGACACGGCCCGAACUCCUACGGGAGGCAGCAGUGGGGAAUAUUGGACAAUGGGGGAAACCCUGAUCCAGCCAUGCCGCGUGUGUGAAGAAGGCCCUCGGGUUGUAAAGCACUUUCAGCGAGGAAGAACGCCUAACGGUUAAUACCCGCUAGGAAAGACAUCACUCGCAGAAGAAGCACCGGCUAACUCCGUGCCAGCAGCCGCGGUAAUACGGAGGGUGCAAGCGUUAAUCGGAAUUACUGGGCGUAAAGCGCGCGUAGGUGGAUUGAUAAGCCGGUUGUGAAAGCCCCGGGCUCAACCUGGGAACGGCAUCCGGAACUGUCAAGCUAGAGUGCAGGAGAGGAAGGUAGAAUUCCCGGUGUAGCGGUGAAAUGCGUAGAGAUCGGGAGGAAUACCAGUGGCGAAGGCGGCCUUCUGGACUGACACUGACACUGAGGUGCGAAAGCGUGGGUAGCAAACAGGAUUAGAUACCCUGGUAGUCCACGCCGUAAACGAUGUCGACCAGCCGUUGGGUGCCUAGCGCACUUUGUGGCGAAGUUAACGCGAUAAGUCGACCGCCUGGGGAGUACGGCCGCAAGGUUAAAACUCAAAUGAAUUGACGGGGGCCCGCACAAGCGGUGGAGCAUGUGGUUUAAUUCGAUGCAACGCGAAGAACCUUACCUACUCUUGACAUCCUGCGAAUUUGGUAGAGAUACCUUAGUGCCUUCGGGAACGCAGAGACAGGUGCUGCAUGGCUGUCGUCAGCUCGUGUUGUGAAAUGUUGGGUUAAGUCCCGUAACGAGCGCAACCCUUGUCCUUAUUUGCCAGCGCGUAAUGGCGGGAACUCUAAG
RNAcentral lists this ribosomal RNA (1089 nucleotides) under uncultured bacterium. RNAcentral describes it as "bacterial SSU rRNA". It matches the Rfam family "Bacterial small subunit ribosomal RNA", at positions 57 to 1144 of the family's 1533-position model. The record is from RNAcentral.